Molecule: ribosomal RNA, 453 nt
Filed under: uncultured bacterium
Lineage: Bacteria
Description: bacterial SSU rRNA
Rfam family: Bacterial small subunit ribosomal RNA
Source: RNAcentral
GACGAACGCUGGCGGCGUGCCUAACACAUGCAAGUCGAACGGAACUGUUUUGAAAGAUUUCUUCGGAAUGAAUUUGAUUUAGUUUAGUGGCGGACGGGUGAGUAACGCGUGAGUAACCUGCCUUCAAGAGGGGGAUAACAUUCUGAAAAGAAUGCUAAUACCGCAUGACAUAUCGGAACCACAUGGUUUUGAUAUCAAAGAUUUUAUCGCUUGAAGAUGGACUUGCGUCCGAUUAGUUAGUUGGUGAGGUAACGGCUCACCAAGACCGCGAUCGGUAGCCGGACUGAGAGGUUGAACGGCCACAUUGGGACUGAGACACGGCCCAGACUCCUACGGGAGGCAGCAGUGGGGGAUAUUGCGCAAUGGGGGCAACCCUGACGCAGCAACGCCGCGUGAAGGAUGAAGGUUUUCGGAUUGUAAACUUCUUUUAUUAAGGACGGAAAAUGACGGUAC